UGAAGUCGUCGUGCAAUACAUGCAUGGCGAGCGUACAGUUGGUAGCUUGCUCCCUGUGGUUAGCGGCGGUCGGGUGAGUAACACGUGGGUAACCUGCCUGUAAGACUGGGAUAACUCCGGGAAACCGGGGCUAAUACCGGAUGGUUGUUUGAACCGCAUGGUUCAAACAUAAAAGGUGGCUUCGGCUACCACUUACAGAUGGACCCGCGGCGCAUUAGCUAGUUGGUGAGGUAACGGCUCACCAAGGCAACGAUGCGUAGCCGACCUGAGAGGGUGAUCGGCCACACUGGGACUGAGACACGGCCCAGACUCCUACGGGAGGCAGCAGUAGGGAAUCUUCCGCAAUGGACGAAAGUCUGACGGAGCAACGCCGCGUGAGUGAUGAAGGUUUUCGGAUCGUAAAGCUCUGUUGUUAGGGAAGAACAAGUACCGUUCGAAUAGGGCGGUACCUUGACGGUACCUAACCAGAAAGCCACGGCUAACUACGUGCCAGCAGCCGCGGUAAUACGUAGGUGGCAAGCGUUGUCCGGAAUUAUUGGGCGUAAAGGGCUCGCAGGCGGUUUCUUAAGUCUGAUGUGAAAGCCCCCGGCUCAACCGGGGAGGGUCAUUGGAAACUGGGGAACUUGAGUGCAGAAGAGGAGAGUGGAAUUCCACGUGUAGCGGUGAAAUGCGUAGAGA
RNAcentral lists this ribosomal RNA (678 nucleotides) under Bacillus subtilis. Its description in RNAcentral is "bacterial SSU rRNA". It matches the Rfam family "Bacterial small subunit ribosomal RNA", at positions 37 to 696 of the family's 1533-position model. Lineage: Bacteria; Bacillati; Bacillota; Bacilli; Caryophanales; Bacillaceae. The record is from RNAcentral.